This is a long non-coding RNA of Mytilus californianus (California mussel), 1154 nucleotides long. RefSeq lists it as uncharacterized. The record is from RefSeq and is a predicted model, not a curated record. The transcript is spliced from 4 exons. NCBI's taxonomy places the organism in Eukaryota, Metazoa, Mollusca, Bivalvia, Mytilida, Mytilidae.
UUAAGAAUAUUUUCUUCAUGAAUUUAUGAUUUUAUCCGAUCAAUUUUCUGGUAUUUGAGAUGUCAUAGAUAAGGAUCAAUAACUCUUUAACUGUUGGAUCAAAUCUAUUGAAACUUUGCACAAUAACUACUGAAAUGUAUAUCUUUAUUUUAAAAGUGCAGUUUUAAGUCUGGAAAAAAAAUUAAAGUCUGACAGGAAUAGGAUCCCAGUUACGGCAACCAGUCCGGUACCUACGAAUGUAGUUCUUAAAAAAAAUAUAUAACUUUUAUUUAAAAUGGUGUAGUUUUAUUAUUACACAAGUUCUGUAACUGAAUGUAGAUUUACUUGAAAGGGUAGGCUUUCUAGCUUGAAUUUCUGUAAAAAUUUUGAUUGAUUUAAAUGUAAUCAGGCGUCGGUACAUAGAGUAAAUUGCCUAAAUUCUAGCCUUUAUUCUUCCCCUGAAGUAGAUGGACCUACCCUGUUGUCAAUCGAAACAAAAUUUUGCAACGGAAUGCCGGUCAUGAGGCACUGAGAUUAUACUUAGAAACUUCAUAACAAAUGCCUAAAAUGAAACAGAAGUCCCAAGGCUGAUGUAAUGACAAUGAUUUCAUGGUGUUGGGAGUAAGAAUUGGAGAUCUGAUACUGCUAACAUGUUGGUUAGCAUCACAGCUUGUCCAUAGGGAUACUGGCUGGGGUAGCAUUUGGAUCUGUUUCAAGGUGUGUUCCUGCUGCUGCCUUGUGUGUUCAAUCCUGUGGACAAUAAUAAUCAUGCAAACCACAUAUAUGUUGCAUUUUUGUUUAUUAAAAUCCUUAAGUGAUAAUUCUGAAAGCCAAAUUAUUAAUUUUUUAAUGCUAUUAUUUAUUUUCCAUUUACUGUAAACUCACAAAUUUUUGUUUUUUAAUGCUGUUAUUUAUUUUCCAAUUAUUGAAAAUUCACAGAUUUUUGAUAUAUUUUUUUUACUGAAAAUUGCUACACCGAGAUAGAUUUUGCAAAAAUAAAAUUAUAUUUUAAAUUUUGAUAGCAUUAUUUAUUUGCAACAUGUCCUUAAUGACAAUAAUUAAUUUAAAUAAAUGCUUGCAAAUUUUUUUUGAAUUUACAGUAUAAAUAUGUUUUCAUUAUUUAUAUAUGCAUGAUAUUAUUAUACAUUGUAUUUUGCUUUAUAAUAAACAAAAUU